This is a long non-coding RNA of Xyrauchen texanus (razorback sucker), 1888 nucleotides long. RefSeq lists it as uncharacterized. The record is from RefSeq and is a predicted model, not a curated record. NCBI's taxonomy places the organism in Eukaryota, Metazoa, Chordata, Actinopteri, Cypriniformes, Catostomidae. The transcript has 5 exons.
CAGCGCAGAAGCACAUGGACUGAGGAAUCGACACUCUUCUUCGGUAAAUGCAAGGUGCUCAGAUGCUGAUUGAAGUAGGGAGGAGAAAUCGUGUGACGUGCCUGCAUCAGUGAUAAAGUCUGCAAGGCUGGGGAACAUGUCGCAGUUCCCUCGACUGAUGCGGCCAUGCCAGAGGUCUAGUUUUUGUGUGAAGGCGUGCACUUUGUCUGCAAGGAGCAAAAUAGUACCAGAUGAUGACCUACUAUGCAGUGGAAAUUUUGCCAUGUCGAUGACACUUCACAUUAUUGUGCAUGACAGUGACAUCUUGGAGAAGUGGCCUGCACUUUUCACAGAAAGAUUCAGAUGUAGAUGCAGGCUUCAGUGAAUUAGCUUUUGGACUGCUCACAGUUUUACCAUACAUCCACAUGCCCUCAACGUGGACGCAAUGGAGGGAAGAAUUGUCGUGAUGAUGUCCCAAAUUUGCCUCAUUCUGUAUGUCUCCACUUUGCUUUGAUCUAUGCUCUAAAUUUAGACCAUCCAAAGACAAUGAGGAAUCACAUUUGAUUUUAUUCAAUGGGUAUUUCUGUCUUUGGGAGGACAAGAAUCUCAAACCCAAACACCAAACCCUUAAAAAUAGUAUUUUAAGCUGAACUUGUUUCUGGCACAUUUUGCUGUAAUUGCAGUUCAGUUUUUCCAAAUUGAAAAGGCUCUUUCUUCUCUUUUUUUUCCCUUUUUUAAAUACUUUUUUGGAGUUUGCACAGUGCCUGUUCUGCAAAUGCUCUAUACCUUGUUUAUGGUCCAGAUAUAACAGAUUGUUUUAAAGGCAUAGUUUUUUUUAUUGUGGUGUUCUUAGUUUCAGCUGUUUAUUACACAAAUAAACAGUUGAGAAUUUCAAACUUGUUACGAGUGUUAUUUGAACUAGAAAAAUUAUGUUCAGUUUGCUUAAAGAAAAUCUGGAAAGCGAUUGCACGUAGUAUUUUAAGUUUACACAACUUAAAGUGAUACAGUAAACUCAUGUUGAGAUCAGUGGUAUUUCAGAUUUAAAGUGAAUUGUAUUAAAUGUAAUUUAAUUGAGUUAAAUAAUAAUAUAUAAAUAAAUAAUUUGUAAGGUUACUAAUUAAUUUAUAGAAAAUUAACAAAAAAAUUUAGUUAACUAGAAAUGUACUAUUAAGUUUAACUCUUUCCCCGCCAAACACGGAAUUUUCCGGGUUUUAUGAAAAAACGCUUCCCCGCCAAACACGGAAUUUUCCGGGUAUCCGUGUUUUAGGUGGUAUACGGUAAGGAAGACCUGCGCGCAUCUUUUGAAAGAGUACGCAACUCUUUGAUCAAAGAAACAGACCGCGAUCGUCUCAAACGUGAAGUGGAACACCAUACUAAAACUAAAGCACUUGUUUGAUAAAAAUGCCUUUUUCUCAGCUUUUUGUCCGAAAUGUUGUUUUUGACAAAACCUACCUCUGUUCAAGUGGCAAUAAAAAAAGAACAUAUGAAGAUAAAAUAAAAUCGUUUAUUUUGCCUAAAAGCAGAGGCUCAGAUCUUUAUUUUGAUAUAUAGCAUCUUCAUAUAUUCAUGGAAGAAAAUAUUCUGCGGGCCAUUAAAUUUUAGCGAAAAUCGUCAAAAACCCUGGCGGUGGCUGGCAACUUUUUUAAAAACGCUGGCGGGGAAAGAGUUAAUAACAAGUUGACAUUACUUGUAUAGGAACAUUAAUAUAACUUCAUUUUAGUAAGUACGUUUUCUUUGCAAAAAUAAGGCAAUCGGUUUCCUUAAUUUUUAAGUAAACUUGAACAUGUAAAAUUUUUCAAUGUAUGCAGGUAAAAUAUUUAAAAUACUGUUUUGUGUUAGACGAUGUAAUGUUUAAAGUAUAUUGUACAAAGUAUGACUAAGUAAUGAACAGUUUUUUAUUGAAGACAAA